UGAAUCUAAAACUUAACUUA
This 20-nucleotide ribosomal RNA is filed under the name Bryum argenteum. Its description in RNAcentral is "partial 5.8S ribosomal RNA". Lineage: Eukaryota; Viridiplantae; Streptophyta; Bryopsida; Bryales; Bryaceae. The record is from RNAcentral.